CCUGUAUUAAUUAUAUCAAUGUAUUUUGUAUUGUAAUUAUUUUUACUAUUUUUUAUUAUAACGGAAAAGAAGUUAUUUGAUUUCGAAUUAUUUGAAUGUAUAAUUUCAUGUUGAUAAUUCUUUUAUAUAGAUAGUAUAGAAGAUACCAUGGCUAUCACAAAAGUUAAUCAUUUAAUUCAUCUUCGUCGAAUUAUGACAAUAAUAUGAAUAGAAUUAUAUUAUAUUAUUUUCGUUACUAUUUUAUGUCACGUGACGAGGUUUCUACUAAACCAAUAUGUCGCAUCGUGUCACGUGAUGUGUCUUUGCUUAAUCUAGCAGUGGGGAUAUUGUGACGUCAUAUAUUUUUCUUACGAGAAAAUUUACAGGGAAUUGUGUUAUUUUUAGUAAUAAAGAGAAUAUCAAUUAGAUAAAUUCUAUAUAUUAUCGUUUAUGUAUUUAAUAUUUUUAUAAAGAAGUGCAAAUGGACAUGUGCGAUCUAAUCUAAUUUCAAAAAAGUAAUAUAAGUGUUAUUUAAAGAUAUUAAAAAGCGCCAGAUUCUGUUUCAAAUAUUCGCAGCAGAAAUCGAGAACACCUAGAAUAUUCAAGUAAUCGGCAGUGACCAGCAACUGGCACACGUUUUCAUUGUUCACAUUGAUCGAUCUCAAGUAAGCGUAUUCGAGGAGCAGAUUCAUCAUGUUGCUGCUGACACCGGGCAAGAGAACAUCCGUUUUUUCGCGCGAAUAUUUUUAAGGAUAUAGAAUAUUUUAAAGAAUAUAAAGAUAUAAAAGAUAAAAGGACAUAAAAUAUAAAACUUUUGUUUAAGUAUUUAUAAUAAAGAGUUUUAAUAAAAGUUUUCAUAAAGAGAAAAUGUUAAAGCAUAGAUAACUUGAACUCAUACUAGACAAGACCUAAAAUAUGGACUGCAAGCUGAUAAAAUGGCCCGGUGAAU
This is a long non-coding RNA of Apis florea (little honeybee), 928 nucleotides long. RefSeq lists it as uncharacterized. Lineage: Eukaryota; Metazoa; Arthropoda; Insecta; Hymenoptera; Apidae. The record is from RefSeq and is a predicted model, not a curated record.